This is a long non-coding RNA of Mauremys reevesii (Reeves's turtle), 1114 nucleotides long. RefSeq lists it as uncharacterized. The transcript has 3 exons. The record is from RefSeq and is a predicted model, not a curated record. Lineage: Eukaryota; Metazoa; Chordata; Testudines; Geoemydidae.
AGGCAUUAACUCUUUCAAUGUAUUCACGGUGUUUAAGGGUGGGGCCUCCCUUGUCCAGGAUUGUGAGAGUGCUUGGUCAUUGGCUUCAGGGCCAUCUUUCAGGGUGGGGCCUGUGGAACUCUACGUGUUCAUUCACUGACCAUAGCUUUUCCCCUGUUUUAUUCUAGGCCGCUGGAAAUGUGACCAUCUCUGACCAGGAAGUUGCUUGAGCAGACUACUGUACAGACCAUCUGAUGCAAGAUGAUCGUGCAGUGAGCACCCAGUGUGCUCUCACCUUCUCUUGCCCCCUGGAGUACAAGCCCAGCCUGGAGGUGAUGUCCUGGAGCUGCCCUAGGGAGCAAAGAUUCCAGGUUACGCUGGAACCCGUGAGGACUUCUGGGCAUCUGCCCCAUCGGUCUUCAGGAAGCUUAUUGUGGGUCAGAUUAUGGCACUAGGCAGUGCCCUGAAUGUCAUGGGAUCAUUCCAACUUCAGCAGGGCAGUCCCCCAAACUGGGUACCUGAGCCUGACCAACUCUUUGGAGAUCAAUAUGUUCAGAGCUGCAAUGCACCAUGGGGACUCGGAGAGAAAGUGCUUGGUGGGGACUUCAUGCUUCUCAUGAGGACUUUUCAGGAUGAAUGAGGGGAAUCAAGAAGGUUGCACACAGAAGCAGAGCAUGAAAAACAGUACAAGGAAAGAGGUCUUUGGUGAGAUAAUUUCCCUGUUUUGGCAGAUGAUGAGAAAAUUAAGGCACAGGUUCUCAGGCUCCUGUGGAACUGCAGCAGAGUUUUAUUGAUGCUUUCUCUAAUAAAAAGUAGAGAUGUUCAAAUAAUCAUCAAAUAAUUUAUAUCAGGAGCUUCAUGAUAUUUUUCAAAUACAUUUGACAAAUAAUUUGUUUGUACCCUUUGCCCGGCAGACAGACAGACAUAGAUACUAUGAGCCUUAUUUAUUAUUGUCCUGCAUCUCUUGUAGUUGUUCCCAGCAGUGCAAAGUGGGUCUAUAAGGCUACCCUUCUGACCUGAUAGCAUUUUAUACCCACUUUAUUCUGGUGUAAAUGACUGUGCAACGUUCAGGGCAAUGGAAAAUUAUACAACCCUUAGUGUUAAUGUAUAUAUACACACAUACAUCUAAGAUAAA